This 253-nucleotide ribosomal RNA is filed under the name uncultured bacterium. RNAcentral describes it as "partial 16S ribosomal RNA". It matches the Rfam family "Bacterial small subunit ribosomal RNA", at positions 524 to 776 of the family's 1533-position model. The record is from RNAcentral.
UACAGAGGUCCCAAGCGUUGUUCGGAUUCAUUGGGCGUAAAGGGUGCGUAGGCGGCGCGGUAAGUCGGGUGUGAAAUCUCGGAGCUUAACUCCGAAACUGCAUUCGAUACUGCCGUGCUUGAGGACUGGAGAGGAGACUGGAAUUUACGGUGUAGCGGUGAAAUGCGUAGAUAUUGGGAGGAACACCAGUGGCGAAGGCGGCUCGCUGGACCGGUUCUGACGCUGAGGCGCGAAAGCGUGGGGAGCAAACGGG